Molecule: long non-coding RNA, 1318 nt
Organism: Penaeus indicus
Lineage: Eukaryota; Metazoa; Arthropoda; Malacostraca; Decapoda; Penaeidae
Exons: 3
Source: RefSeq, a predicted model, not a curated record
UGACAUUUCCUUUGUAAUUCCAGGCAUGAUAGUGAAAUAAAGAUACAGGAUGAUUAUUACAAGAACAGUUACCAUCCUACAUACUGCAGUGCAUUGGAAGUAUCAUUUCUAUUCUCUUGUUUGGUUUGCUUUACUUUUCUGGGUCAUCUAGGGAGUAUAUUUGUUUUCUGAACUACUCAUAUCAUUGUAAUAAAUUUACAGUAAGAAUUACAUGUGUCUUAUAACAAGUUUUAAAUUCCCAUCAUUCCAACAUUUUUACAGUGUAUACCAUUGAGCAUUUGGCCUGUAAGUUGUGGUAGAGGAAUGAAAAAUGUAUCUAUUGUAGUGCUAAAAUUCCCAUCAAUAACACUUUUACAGGACAAUGAAGAAUGGCCAACAAGUAGUUUUUCAUCUUCCCAGCUGGUUGUGCUCUGUUUUGUUUAAGUGACUUUCAUUUUACUGCAUUAUUCAUAUUUCUGAAUAAGAAUUUAACUGAUAUUUCUUCUAUUAUAACUAUUUUGAAAAUCCAUUUCUCAAAUAUUUUGCAAUUGUAGACAACCAUUGAACAAUUGUCUUACACACCAUAUUUUCAAAAUGAGAACUAGAAUAUCUAUUACAUUGUGAUCAUUUUGAAGUCUUUCUCUUUAACACCAAAUACAUUUUACAGUACAACAGAGUACGGCCAAUGAAUGUGGUUUCAUCUUCUCUGCUGGCCAUUCAUGGUUUGGUUUACUAGACUUUCUAGGUCUUAGCAACAAAAAACAGUCAACAUACAUGAUUCCAUCUUCCCAGCUGGCUGUGCUUUGUUAGGUUUAGUUGACCUAAAGUGUCUGGUUCUGGUUGUGCUUUGUUCUCGUCACUUGACAGUCUGGGUUUCCCUGUGAGUAUAAUACAUAUUUGUUUUACUAGAUUAUUCUUACAACUAAGUAUUUUAAUAUCCUAUUUUCGGAUGGACACUAUUUCCAUACCCAGGAUCCUAUACCUGCCCACCUUGACUGACGCUGUAAGGUGUUUUACAGAAGAUUGAAUAAUAUGAAAAUAUAAAAAAGGACACAAAUAACACUGUUACUCAUUAUUGUUGCUAAUUUUCACAGUUUUAGAUUACCAUGAGUGAUGAUAUGGAGUCUGAUCAAGGAAAAUAGUCUAUUACCAUCAGAGAUACAGCAUAACAAAUAACAAAUAAAUAUAAACAUUGGAAAGUGCUAAGCACUUGUAGAGCAAUUCAUGUGUAAAAACAAUAUAACCUAACCUACAAUGUGCAUGGCAGGUAUGUAUAUGCCAUCCUAAGCAGCAGUAGGUUAAAGAUGAUAUAAAAAAGAAAACCAAGUUUUGUGAUGCC